This 66-nucleotide transfer RNA is filed under the name Escherichia coli. RNAcentral describes it as "tRNA-Met". It matches the Rfam family "tRNA", at positions 1 to 63 of the family's 71-position model. Rfam says of the family: Transfer RNA (tRNA) molecules are approximately 80 nucleotides in length. Lineage: Bacteria; Pseudomonadati; Pseudomonadota; Gammaproteobacteria; Enterobacterales; Enterobacteriaceae. The record is from RNAcentral.
GGCUACGUAGCUCAGUUGGUUAGAGCACAUCACUCAUAAUGAUGGGGUCACAGGUUCGAAUCCCGU